This 73-nucleotide transfer RNA is filed under the name Anneissia japonica. RNAcentral describes it as "tRNA-Val". It matches the Rfam family "tRNA". Rfam says of the family: Transfer RNA (tRNA) molecules are approximately 80 nucleotides in length. Their secondary structure includes four short double-helical elements and three loops (D, anti-codon, and T loops). The record is from RNAcentral. Lineage: Eukaryota; Metazoa; Echinodermata; Crinoidea; Comatulida; Comatulidae.
GGUUUCGUGGUGUAGUGGUUAUCACGUCUGCUUUACACGCAGAAGGUCCCCGGUUCGAGCCCGGGUGGAACCU